RNAcentral lists this ribosomal RNA (467 nucleotides) under uncultured bacterium. RNAcentral's name for it is "partial 16S ribosomal RNA". It matches the Rfam family "Bacterial small subunit ribosomal RNA", at positions 28 to 506 of the family's 1533-position model. The record is from RNAcentral.
GACGAACGCUGGCGGCGUGCUUAACACAUGCAAGUCGAACGGAAAGGCCCUGCUUUUGUGGGGUGCUCGAGUGGCGAACGGGUGAGUAACACGUGAGUAACCUGCCCUUGACUUUGGGAUAACUUCAGGAAACUGGGGCUAAUACCGGAUAGGAGCUCCUGCUGCAUGGUGGGGGUUGGAAAGUUUCGGCGGUUGGGGAUGGACUCGCGGCUUAUCAGCUUGUUGGUGGGGUAGUGGCUUACCAAGGCUUUGACGGGUAGCCGGCCUGAGAGGGUGACCGGCCACAUUGGGACUGAGAUAGGGCCCAGACUCCUACGGGAGGAAGCAGUGGGGAAUAUGGAACAAGGGGCGGAAGCCGGAUGCAGCAACGCCGGGUGCGGGAUGACGGCCUUCGGGUUGUAAACGGCUUUCGCCUGUGACGAAGCGUGAGUGACGGUAAUGGGUAAAGAAGCACCGGCGAACUACGU